Molecule: RNA transcript, 549 nt
Organism: Oryzias melastigma (Indian medaka)
Lineage: Eukaryota; Metazoa; Chordata; Actinopteri; Beloniformes; Adrianichthyidae
Gene name: guanine nucleotide-binding protein subunit beta-5a
Source: RefSeq, a predicted model, not a curated record
GAGCAUGCUGUGACAAUGCCUUGCACCUGGGUGAUGGCCUGUGCGUACGCCCCCUCCGGCUGUGCUGUAGCCUGUGGGGGUCUGGACAAUAAAUGCUCAGUGUAUCCUCUGUCCCUGGACAAGAAUGAGAACUUGGCAGCAAAGAAGAAGUCGGUGGCCAUGCACACAAACUACCUGUCUGCCUGCAGCUUCACUAAUUCAGACAUGCAGGUGAGAGACGAAGCGCCGGGAGGGCGGAGUCAGUGGAAGGGAGGGAAAACACAAGCAGAGCUUUUUGUUUUCUUCAUAAAGCUAUCACAUCAAUAUUUAAGAAAGAACAUGAAAAACAUCCAUUAAGGCCACUAAGUAUGUGGUAAGUAUGAGGUUUCAUCAUUACCAAUUAUAUUUGACUCUUUUAUUCUUGAAGAACAGAAAAAAAUCAAAAUAUAUUUAUCAUGAAAGCAAUUUAAUGUAAAAACAAUUAACUUAAAUGUAGUGUUUAAAUGAGAAAACAUGGAAAGAAACUGUGUGAUGAUUGCAGCAAAAAAUAAAAAAAUAAAUGUGGGAAAA